RNAcentral lists this ribosomal RNA (253 nucleotides) under uncultured bacterium. Its description in RNAcentral is "partial 16S ribosomal RNA". It matches the Rfam family "Bacterial small subunit ribosomal RNA", at positions 524 to 776 of the family's 1533-position model. The record is from RNAcentral.
UACAGAGGGGGCAAGCGUUGUCCGGACUGACUGGGCGUAAAGCGCACGCAGGCGGUUGUGGGCGUCGGUGCUGAAAGUCCACUGCUUAACAGUGGGAUGCGUGCCGAUACGCCAUAACUGGAGCGAUGCAGAGGCCAGUGGAAUUGCCGGUGUAGUGGUGAAAUGCGUAGAUAUCUGGAGGAAUACCGGUGGCGAAGGCGGCAUCCUGGACCGACAUUGACGCUGAGGAGCGAAAGCCAGGGGAGCAAACAGG